AGCAAUAUGACAAUGCCCUGGUGCAGUCUGCUGGAGUGGACUGUCUCACUUCACUCUGUCAGCUGCUGGGGAUAAUGAUCCUCAGAGGGAGAAUAGAACAACACGAUCCAAUUCCUACAGGUCCAUACGCCUGGUUAUGGUAUUCAGUUCAAUCUCCUCUCUGCAUGGGUGACACCUCCUCAUAAACAGGACCAGUUGGUGCAGUGGGUCCUAUACAUUAUCUUGCUCUUUAGCUGACGGGGAGUACACAUUCUUCUUAUGCAUGAACAAAUACAUUAUCAAGAGUCCCAUCAACAAUUCAAUGACGGUGAAUAGAAUGCCAUGACAACCACGCUGAUGGAGACAGCUCCAUCAAAUCGACUCCCAUCAGAUAGGCUGGCGCAAUUGUAAGAAACAGCUGUAUAAGUGGUUCAAGAGGAUCUCUACUGGGUUUUGGUCCCACUCUCCUGUAGCUGGACAGGUGGCAGUCAUUAUGCCCUCAGCCUCAGGGAAGAGUCCAUCAUCACACUGGAAUGUCACUUGCAUGUUUACCGGAAAGAGCAGGUACUGAAUGAUCACUGAUGGUGCCACUCUGUGGUGAGGAUAGUGGAGCCGUGCAGUUCAUUGGAGGAGCUGUGUAAAUAACAUACUGUUGGGAAGUAUUAAUUUUCAUAACAAUGCUCAGUAGAGCAUUCACACUGUGCGUUGAGCUUCAUCGCACAGCAGCAAAACGGAUACAAUAACUUUUUACCGUAACGAGUUUAUCAUUAUGGGGAAUAUAAUUAUGAUCGUGAAUUUAUAAAGCAACGAUUAAAUCAAUUGGUUUGUCGCCUUCGAAGAUCGCCUAAAAGUUUCAAGUACAGCAGUUAAAGCAGCCUAUGAAAGUGUCUAGUUCGUUCAAACAGCUCAUUUUGUGUCCAUGCAUGUACACACAUAUACACAUUAUACAUCUGCAUUUAUUGUGUAACACGCUUCAAGUUUGUAUAGAUUCAUGUCGACAGCUGAGGGUUAGCACUUUUAAAUUAGUGCUCUAGUUUACCAAGCCAUCAGAUAAUAGAUUUCUGUUGCCAUUAAGCUCCUCUUCUAUUGACUGUGUGUGGAUUCAUUGUCAACAAUUGCAAACAAUAAUGAAAACACCGCGGGUGCUGAUGCCUCGGUGGAUGUGCCAACAUAAAGCUACUAGCUGAUAUUGCUAAUACACACAUGAUAUGAUUAUCAUGAUGAAUAUUUUUGCAUCUAGAGUGGGAUCGAAAUGAUCGAUCAUGAUUGUUGCUAAAGAGGAUGCUAAAAGGACAAAGUUUAUGGCUGCUGCAUCAGUGUAUAGAGCCUUGCAGCUCUCUUCUCACUCUUGCAGCUACCAAUAGCUAGCGUUCUAGUACAGAGCUAACUACUGAGUAGCAACACUCCAUGGACAACUUUUGCUACAUAUGCACUCUUCUGAAAGGCUGCAAUGGCAUUCCAAAAUUAGGCAUAAUUCGAGAACGAAGCAUUAUUUUGGAAAUCCACGAAUCAGAAUCCAUGAAAACAUUACUAGAACCCUAUAGAAACUCUUACUUGCAGCUUAUUGAUCUUUGAGCAGCUGUAGCAGUCUACAUACACACAUGCACACAUACAAACACACACUGCCGUAUACCUUGCUUGCACAUACACACCGAGGCAUAAUAAUAACUUAACAGUAUCCAAAGCAUACAAAUACCUCUUCUAUAUAAUCGUAUUAUAAUUAUGAUCAUAGAAGAGGUAUUAGUAUACUUUGUAUUUGAGUGUUAUAUGACAUAAUUAUAACACUCUAAUACCUUAAUUGAGCGAAGCUAAACAUGGCGAGAGGCAUUAGCACAGCGCACCAUUCGUUUAAUAUAGCUUCUUUUUUAAUACAAAAGAUGUAGUGGCUUUUAAUGAACAGAUGUUGCUGU
This is a long non-coding RNA of Halichondria panicea, 1889 nucleotides long. RefSeq lists it as uncharacterized. The record is from RefSeq and is a predicted model, not a curated record. Lineage: Eukaryota; Metazoa; Porifera; Demospongiae; Suberitida; Halichondriidae. The transcript is spliced from 3 exons.